RNAcentral lists this ribosomal RNA (428 nucleotides) under uncultured bacterium. RNAcentral's name for it is "bacterial SSU rRNA". It matches the Rfam family "Bacterial small subunit ribosomal RNA", at positions 28 to 436 of the family's 1533-position model. The record is from RNAcentral.
GACGAACGCUGGCGGCGUGCCUAAUACAUGCAAGUCGAACGGUCUUUUCUAUGGAAGCUUGCUUCCACUGAGAAGGUAGUGGCGGACGGGUGAGUAACACGUGGGUAACCUGCCCAUAAGAGGGGGAUAACAUCCGGAAACGGGUGCUAAUACCGCAUAGUUUUCUUGAUCGCAUGAUUGAGAAAGGAAAGACGGCCUUUGUGCUGUCGCUUAUGGAUGGACCCGCGGCGUAUUAGUUAGUUGGUGAGGUAAUGGCUCACCAAGACGAUGAUACGUAGCCGACCUGAGAGGGUGAUCGGCCACAUUGGGACUGAGACACGGCCCAAACUCCUACGGGAGGCAGCAGUAGGGAAUCUUCCGCAAUGGACGAAAGUCUGACGGAGCAACGCCGCGUGAGUGAAGAAGGUUUUCGGAUCGUAAAACUCUGU